GAUGAACGCUAGCUACAGGCUUAACACAUGCAAGUCGAGGGGAAACGAUAGAGAAAGCUUGCUUUUUCUAGGCGUCGACCGGCGCACGGGUGAGUAACGCGUAUCCAACCUGCCCACCACUUGGGGAUAACCUUGCGAAAGUAAGACUAAUACCCAAUGACGUCUCUAGAAGACAUCUGAAAGGGAUUAAAGAUUUAUCGGUGAUGGAUGGGGAUGCGUCUGAUUAGCUUGUUGGGCGGGGGUAACGGCCCACCAAGGCAACGAUCAGGUAGGGGGUUCUGAGAGGAACGGUCCCCCCA
This 299-nucleotide ribosomal RNA is filed under the name uncultured bacterium. RNAcentral describes it as "partial 16S ribosomal RNA". It matches the Rfam family "Bacterial small subunit ribosomal RNA", at positions 28 to 310 of the family's 1533-position model. The record is from RNAcentral.